This 254-nucleotide ribosomal RNA is filed under the name uncultured bacterium. RNAcentral describes it as "partial 16S ribosomal RNA". It matches the Rfam family "Bacterial small subunit ribosomal RNA", at positions 524 to 776 of the family's 1533-position model. The record is from RNAcentral.
UACGUAGGGCGCAAGCGUUGUCCGGAAUUAUUGGGCGUAAAGAGCUCGUAGGCGGUUUGUCGCGUCUGCUGUGAAAACUCGAGGCUCAACCUCGGGCUUGCAGUGGGUACGGGCAGACUAGAGUGCGGUAGGGGUGACUGGAAUUCCUGGUGUAGCGGUGGAAUGCGCAGAUAUCAGGAGGAACACCGAUGGCGAAGGCAGGUCACUGGGCCGCAACUGACGCUGGAGGAGCGAAAGCGUGGGGAGCGAACAGG